This 440-nucleotide ribosomal RNA is filed under the name uncultured bacterium. RNAcentral's name for it is "partial 16S ribosomal RNA". It matches the Rfam family "Bacterial small subunit ribosomal RNA", at positions 338 to 795 of the family's 1533-position model. The record is from RNAcentral.
CCUACGGGUGGCAGCAGUGGGGAAUAUUGCACAAUGGGGGAAACCCUGAUGCAGCGACGCCGCGUGAGUGAAGAAGUAUUUCGGUAUGUAAAGCUCUAUCAGCAGGGAAGAAAAUGACGGUACCUGACUAAGAAGCCCCGGCUAACUACGUGCCAGCAGCCGCGGUAAUACGUAGGGGGCAAGCGUUAUCCGGAUUUACUGGGUGUAAAGGGAGCGUAGACGGUGAUGCAAGUCAGAAGUGAAAGCUCGGGGCUCAACUUCGGGACUGCUUUUGAAACUGUGUGACUGGAGUGCAGGAGAGGUAAGCGGAAUUCCUGGUGUAGCGGUGAAAUGCGUAGAUAUCAGGAGGAACACCAGUGGCGAAGGCGGCUUACUGGACUGUAACUGACGUUGAGGCUCGAAAGCGUGGGGAGCAAACAGGAUUAGAUACCCCAGUAGUC